AUUCAUCACCGUACGUACCACUAAUCAAUCUUCAAGCUGACUGUUUGUUGUAGAAGCGGAAGCAAACAGCCACGCCCAAAACAAUCAAAGGAAGCAAGAGCUGGAGGAACUCGAUGACGCAGUGUAUUGUUUUGUCCUGGUUGUAAUGAGGUUGUUUGGGAGGAGUGUACUUGACCUUUGUUGGGAUGGUUGAACAAUCAACAUCACCAACAUAGUACUCGUCCAACAUUGAUCUAGCACUACUGCUGUGUCCGACAUCCUCAAAAUCACUAGUUGAAUCCUUUCCUGCAGAAAGAACAACCACAUGAGCCUAUGAAUCCGUUUGUUUUUACAGAUUUGCUUAGCUUUUAGCUUCUCAGAGAUGGCAUGCAACUUUCCAAAAUGAUUUAUAUCAAAGUCUAUUUGAAAAUCCAAGUGUAUAAUGUAUUUUGAAAGCCAUUUUAUUACUUUGGGGAUGAAAAGGGCAAUUGAAAAUACUUGAUCACACCAUGCAUGCAAUCUUUUUUAACUUGUCAUUUGUGUACUAAAAGUGACAUUCAUGUGGACAAAGUAUAAGAUACCAGACACGCUUGUCUUAUGGUAGAGCAUCUCUUUCUAAUAUAAUUAGCCAUAAAAUGCUUGCAGAAUUAAUGAAUUUAAGUUUGGUUCAGUGCUUUUUACACCUGAUGUUGUAACAAGUCAUUCAUUUUUAUAUUUUCACCUGAGAAAUGAAUGACCCGUUACAGCAUGUAAAAGUUACCUGAUAGUAAAAAAAAAAAACUACACCAACGAUUCACCAAACUUAAAUUCAAAAUUAAUAUCCUAGAAAAACAUAUACUAUACCAUCUUUCAAUUCUCGAUCUCCACACGUCUCCCUCUUCCAUAUUUGCCUUCUCUUUAUAAUUUAGUUUGAUUUUGUCUUCUUUUAUCAAAUACUCCCACUAUAAUUUUUUAGUUUGUUGGUUUUUUACUAAUAAUUUUAUUGAUUUUCGUAUUCUAAUUAAUUAGGGAUGAUUUAUUUAAUUUUGAUUAGCAUUUAAUGAAUUAGGAAAGUGAUUGUGUGAUUCUAAGGAAAUAUUUCACGCUCCUAGAGUAAUUUUUAGGGAAAAGGACACUCUAUGAUCUUUUUAAAAAAUAAUAGUUCAAUUAUAGCCUAAUUAUAGCCCAAGUUUGGCAUUUAGACAAAUAAUGUCCAGUCGGCUAAACAAAUGUCAUUUUAUGACCAUUUUCAAAUCUUUUUCAAUUUGGGUCAUUUUGAUCCACGUAGUCCAUAUACAACCUAUAUACGAUACUGAUACAGUCUAUAUACAAUAUUGAUACAAUAUUCGACUUGGGCAAUUCGGCACUUUUAAAAAUAUUUCAACUUUUUUUUACUAUAAAUUUUUAAAUUGAUCAAAUAUUCUGCUUUUUUUAUCGUUUAGAAAUAAUAAUUAAAUUAUAUAAAAACGAUAUAAUUAUUAAAUAGAAUAUGAAUCUAUAUAAGAUAUAUGUACAGAAAUUGUAUAGUUCUGUCAAAUAUGUAUAUGUACAAUAUAUAGAAAGUGUAUACAAAUUAUAUAAUUGUUGUAUAAAACGUGUAAAAAAAAGUAUAGUUAUUUAUGUAUCAAAACUGUAUAAUUUCCGUAUAGAAUAUUUAUGUAUAAGAUUUGUAUAAGACCUGUAUAAAAGUUGUGUAAAAAGGGUAUAGAACCAGUCAGUAAAUUAAAAUGGCUAGAAUGUGGAAUUUAAAUUUCAUGGCCAUUUUCAAGGAAAUAGUUUAAUUUGAAGUGUCGUUUCUGUUCUUUCCCCUAAUUUUUAAGGACAGUGCCUAACCCGAAUUCAAGUAUAUUUGAUAGUACAUCCUUAAAAUAUUACUCAUAGUAGUAUUAUUUAAUAGUUACUAUUGUUAUAGGGCUAAUAGUAUUAUUAUUGUUAUAUUAUGAAUUUGUUGACAAUAAAAUAAUAUUAUUAUUGCAGAUUUUACCACUAUUCCCCUACACUUUAGGCAGACAUAACUUAACACACACUUGUUGGUACAUGCAUAUUUAAGGUGAUUAGUAAUUAAAGAUUGAAUACCAAACUAUUUUACCUGUUGUAGACAGUAAAAUCUCAUCACCGCCAGGGUGAUCGUCUAAGAAUUUUGUCACAUCAUACACCUGUUCAAUACAAUUCAAAAGUUAUGAUUUUUAAUUUUGCUAAAUUCAUACUAAAAAGAGAGAUAAAUUAAUUAAAUGAUAUCUCAAAUUUUUGAAAGAAAAAAAGAAACUAAAAUAAUACGUGUCAAAUGAGGAUUGACACGUGAUCAAUACUUAUUUUUAGAAAUUAGGAUUUGAUCUAACAUGAACGUGAUUAUAUCACUUUAGAAUUAUUCGGUGAGAUAAUAGGAGGAUCCUAGCUCGCAAAUUUUUAAAUUUUGAACAACUUUAAUAGUUAUUUUAUGUUUGUUUUUUUUCCUCAAAGAAGAAAGCUUUAAUUAGUACAAGUAUAAUGAGAUUAAAUAACAUGAUACCUUGCCACUAAUAAUGAGCCAACAGUCCUUGGCAUUGUUGUGCUUGGAGACCUCAGCUAAAUUGUACACCUUACCCAUUAUUUAUAGACAAUUUCUUUUAAUCAGUACUAAGAAAACAGAAAGAUUAAUGAGAUAGUAUAUGAUUAUUGGCUCUUCAAGACUCUGUAGAGUUGCAGGAGGGGUUGUUGUGAAUAAAUAAAGAAAAGGGAGGCUUCCAUUGGGGUUUGGCCAUUGUUUAUUUGGCCAUCACAGGUCUAAUCAGAGAUGAUGACAAGUUAAUUUGGUGGAUACAAUUUUAAUAGGAGUAGCAGUUAGGAGUAAAGCUGGCAUGUACACUAUCCUAUUUGUCAGGUUUUAUUUUGUGAGAUUGUAUUGAAUAUAUUUUUGUUACUGUUAUUGUUGUUGGGGUAAAGAAAAGAAGAAAUAAUAGAAUUAAAAGAUGGGAUCGCUCGCUAUCAAAUUAAAAGAUCGAUUCAUCAUCUAGUCAAAUAACUGAAGUAUUAAGAUUUUCGCGAUACAAUAUUUGUUGAAAGAUUUAAUUUUUUAUUUUGUUUUUCUAUGUUAAUAGUUCAUAUCAGAUUGAACGAUUUUACUUUGAUAUUUAAAAAUGAAAGUAUAAGUAGCUAGGCACACAUUCAACUAUAAUUAUAAUUAGGUGAAUGAAAAACACUUUGUCUUUACAUUCAUUAUUCGUUUCAUAGAACAUCAAGUGAUGUGGUGAAAUGAACAUAAUUUUUCUAUUAAAUAAAGAUUUUAAAUCUAAUUUUGAGAAUCAAAACAACAUUGAUAAAGAGCACUUCGUGUAUGUAUAAUAUAUAGUAUAAAUAACAUAAAUAUCAAUUCUUGUGCAAGUAAUUACACUCUCUUCUACUUUUUUAAUUACUUUACUCUCUCCCCUUAUUAAUAUACAUAACAUUCUGUAUAUAUGUUGAGAUUUUUGUAAUAGAUUUAAAGAGUUGGGAUUUUUUGUAAUAUUAGAAACAUAAGUUAUAUAUUUGUGUAAUUUUUAGUAAUAUAAUAUAUAUACAUAAUGAUUUUCAAGGGAAAAAAAAUAACUAAGUCAUUUGGCCAUGGAUUGUUUUCACUUUAUUUGGAAACUCAUUUCACUUUAUACAAAAAAUUAUGUUUGGUCAUAAAAAAAUCAAAUACAAUUUAAAGUUGUAUUUGAAAUUUAGAAAAUAGUCCAAUACUUGUUUUCACUUCCCUUUAUUUUUUUCACUUCUUUAAUUUAUUAUUUGAAAAAAUUCUAAAUUUUUUAUUUUAAUCAAAUAACUCCAUUUAGAUUUUAUUUCAUUUUCAAAUCAUAAUUAUGUUUUUUAAGGAUAUAUGUAUAUAUCGCAAAAACUAUGGCCAAAGGCAUUUCCAAUUUCAAUUCUAAAUUUGAAAUUUUCAAAUACAGUGAAUUUUUUUAUUUAUUUUUUUGGUUUUCAUGGCCAAACUCCUAUGUACGUUUUUUUUAAAACAAACAAAUAAGGGGUCAGAUGUUGGCUUGGACUAAUUAAUCCUAUUAAAUUUGGCAUGAGAUAAUAUAGAGUUCUAUUGGAUUUAUAGGAAAAGAAAAUUAAAUCAUUCCUUAACUAAAGAAACAUUUAGUUGGUUACCUUAAAAUAAUAUAGGCAUUAAGUUAGAUUACAAUUUAGGUAUCGAUUUAAGUGAGAUCAUAAAAUAUGAAAUAAGAGGGUGGGUACAUAGUUAAUAAUUCAUGUAUAAAAGUUUCAUUAUUAUUAAUCACUAAAAUAAUAUUAUUUUUGCAUUAAAAUCCAUCCUAUAUAACUAAAAAUUUUGAUGUGGUUGUUGAGUGAGGUGAUAUUUGAAGCUAACAUAAGUUUUACUUAAAAAUUAAGUUCAUCUACUUGUUAACUUAUUUUAUUGACUUGCCACUUUACUGGUUUCUACAUCAAUAUGCUUAUAAUUUUAUAUCGAACAAUACAUUAGUCUUUUUUAUACAUAUAAUUGUGAUAUUUAUCUUUCAUAAUCAUUGUAUGCAUAUGCAUUUUUAUCUAUGUUUGUUUGGGAUAAAAUCCUAUUAAAGCAAACGCUAGUAGCAGGGGCGGAGCUACAUACAAGGUUGGCUGUUCAUCCGAACCCCCUUCGAUAAAAAAUUAUACUAUAUGUACAUGAUUAAAAUUAUUGUUUAUGUAUAUAUAGUAGAUGUCGAAACCCCUUCGGUUAGUUCAUAUAUUCACUUGGGAACCCCUUGGUGUCAAUCCUGGCUCCGCCACUGGCCAGUAGCCCAAGAAACAAAGUUCACGAGACACAGAUUGAUAUAUAUUUUUUUCAAAAAAAAACAAAAAGUAGUUCGAUGCAGUAAAAUUCAAGCUACAAACUGAUAAAAAUAAAAAGGACAGUUAAAAUGGGAACAAAGAUUAAGCAAAGGCAUCCUCACAACACCAGAAACCAAAAUAUCAUAACUAUUCCCAGAAUUUAACCAAAGAUUUGCCUGGCUAACAAAGAAAUAACUCUUUUUUUUUACUUUUUUUUUUUUGUCUUUUCGCUCUUCCAGCAUCUCGUUGAUUUCAUUUCUUAUUAUGAGAUCACCGGUAAUGAAUCUUCAAGCUGACUGUUUGGUGUAGAAGCGGACGCCAACAGCCACGCCCAAAAUAAUCAAAGGAACCAAGAACUGAAGGAUCUUGAAGAUGAACUGUGUUGUUUUGUCCUGGUUGUAAUGAGGUUGGUUGGGAGGAGUGUACUUGACCUUUGUUGGGAUGGUUGAAGAAUCGAUAUCACCAACAUAAUACUCGUCCAACAUUGAUCGAGCACUACUGCUGUGUCCGACAUCCUCAAAAUCAUCGGUUGCAUCCUUUCC
Molecule: long non-coding RNA, 5273 nt
Filed under: Capsicum annuum
Lineage: Eukaryota; Viridiplantae; Streptophyta; Magnoliopsida; Solanales; Solanaceae
Description: long non-coding RNA (CANN_LNC009097)
Source: RNAcentral